GUGGCGACCCCAAAUUCGGAUACUUGAAACCCGAACUCGGUUCUCCACGAUACCAUUUCUUUAAGCUGAAUAAUACUAAAUAAUAAUAAUAAUAUAAUUCAAACUUAAUUUACAUACAUCAAAGUUUACUUUCCCAGGUACGUGACCUUCAAAAUACAUUCCUUACAAUACCUGACAAUAGAUUCCAUUGUCUUACUAACUAUAACCAUUAACUCAUACUAAUUCUCAUUCGAACAGCUUUUCUUUUCCCUUGUUCGUGCCUGAGCCUUCAGGUCGAUCGUAGGUAACUGAAAACAUUUAGUUUAAGCAAGGAUGAGCAUUUGAGUG
Molecule: long non-coding RNA, 327 nt
Filed under: Panax ginseng (ginseng)
Lineage: Eukaryota; Viridiplantae; Streptophyta; Magnoliopsida; Apiales; Araliaceae
Description: long non-coding RNA (PGIN_LNC010974)
Source: RNAcentral